Molecule: ribosomal RNA, 468 nt
Filed under: uncultured bacterium
Lineage: Bacteria
Description: partial 16S ribosomal RNA
Rfam family: Bacterial small subunit ribosomal RNA
Source: RNAcentral
GACGAACGCUGGCGGCGUGCUUAACACAUGCAAGUCGAACGGAAAGGCCCUGCUUUUGUGGGGUGCUCGAGUGGCGAACGGGUGAGUAACACGUGAGUAACCUGCCCUUGACUUUGGGAUAACUUCAGGAAACUGGGGCUAAUACCGGAUAGGAGCUCCUGCUGCAUGGUGGGGGUUGGAAAGUUUCGGCGGUUGGGGAUGGACUCGCGGCUUAUCCGCUUGUUGGUGAGGUAGUGGCUUACCAAGGCUUUGACGGGUAGCCGGCCUGAGAGGGUGACCGGCCUCAUUGGGACUGAGAUAGGGCCCAGACUCCUACGGGAGGCAGCAGUGGGGAAUAUGACACAAUGGGCGGGAGCCUGAUGCAGCAGCGCCGCGUGCGGGAUAACGGCCUUCGGGUUGUAAACCGCUGUCGCCUGUGACGAAGCGUGAGUGACGGUAAUGGGUAAAAAAGCACCGGCUAACUACGUG